UCCUGCCAGUAACAUAUGCUUGCGUAAAGGACUAAGCCAUGCAGGUGUAAGUCUAAGAGGCGCCUCGUGCACACCCUCAAAACUGCGGAUGGCUCAUUACAUCAGUGGCAAUCUACACAGCUAGAUGGAGGCCGUGCCCGUUGCCCUUCGGGGUGGCGAUCAGCACGGUCUCCAACCGAUAGAUGGAUAACUGUGGUAACUCCAUAGCUAAUACAUGACGCGAAGUCCCGUGCCAGAGGGACGCAUUUACCAGUCAUUUCAAGGAUCCCACGCGUGCCCCGCGUAAGAGGAGUCAUGGUAAACAUCUAGCGGACCGCAUCUAAGGCUCGCGGCACGCUACGGCCCCUAACACGGGCAACACGGGCCUAGUGUGUUUCGAGCCGGGCGGCGGGCUGUUCGAGCUUCUGCCCCAUCAGCUAGACGGUAGUUUACAGGACUACCGUGGCUGCCACGGGUAACGGGGAAUUAGGGUUCGAUUCCGGAGAGGGAGCCUGAGAGAUGGCUACCACUUCCAAGGAAGGCAGCAGGCGCGCAAAUUACCCAAUUCCAACUCGGAGAGGUAGUGACAACGCGUAUCGGCACAGUGCAUUCUAUGUACUGCGACCGGAAUGGACCAAAUUCAAACCCAUUGGUGAGUAACGAUUGGAGGAAAAGUCUGGUGCCAGCACCCGCGGUAAUUCCAGCUCCAAUAGUGUAUAUUAAAGUUGUUGCAGUUAAAAAGCUCGUAGUCAGGUUUCAGGGAGGCGCGUGACGCGUGCCGCACAACCCGAGCUCCGCUCGGGGCGGUGCGUGACACCCCGCCACCCAGGUAUCGUCCUCCUCUUGCCAUGAGGGUCCCACUUGUCGGUUGAGCAUUUCACGGGGAUUAGUGGCGGCUUCGGUCGCAACUGUCUCCGGGGGCCCAACCCGGGUGGUGAUCGGUGAGGGGAUCAAGGGCGGUGCCUAAUUCCUCCACUGUCUGAACGGUAAAGCAUGGGAUGACAUCGUAAGACCUCCAGCUCUUGCGUGGGCUGAUGGCGUCGGCCUUGUGUCGGCGUCUAGGCUCACGCGCUUUUUCCCACGGGGCACGGUUUACAUGGGCUUUCCUUACGGGGAGAGCUGGAGGGCGCGACCAAUAGGGAUGGUUGGGGCCAUUCAUAUUCCCACGUUAGAGGUGAAAUUCUUGGAUCGUGGGAGGAUGAACUUCUGCGAAAGCAUUUGGCACGGACGUUCCCAUUGAUCAAGAACGAAAGUCAGGGGAUCGAAGACGAUCAGAUACCGUCGUAGUCCUGACCAUAAACGAUGCCGACCAGGGAUCAGG
This 1300-nucleotide ribosomal RNA is filed under the name uncultured soil eukaryote. Its description in RNAcentral is "SSU rRNA". It matches the Rfam family "Eukaryotic small subunit ribosomal RNA", at positions 12 to 1057 of the family's 1831-position model. The record is from RNAcentral.